This 565-nucleotide ribosomal RNA is filed under the name Saitozyma flava. RNAcentral's name for it is "partial large subunit ribosomal RNA". It matches the Rfam family "Eukaryotic large subunit ribosomal RNA", at positions 29 to 600 of the family's 3401-position model. Lineage: Eukaryota; Fungi; Basidiomycota; Tremellomycetes; Tremellales; Trimorphomycetaceae. The record is from RNAcentral.
UGAACUUAAGCAUAUCAAUAAGCGGAGGAAAAGAAACUAACAAGGAUUCCCCUAGUAGCGGCGAGCGAAGCGGGAAGAGCUCAAAUUUGUAAUCUGGCGUCCUCCGGGCGUCCGAGUUGUAAUCUAUAGAGACGUUUUCCGUGCCGGACCGUGUCCAAGUCCCUUGGAACAGGGUAUCAAAGAGGGUGACAAUCCCGUACUUGACACGACGACCGGUGCUCUGUGAUACGUUUUCUACGAGUCGAGUUGUUUGGGAAUGCAGCUCAAAAUGGGUGGUAAAUUCCAUCUAAAGCUAAAUAUAGGCGAGAGACCGAUAGCGAACAAGUACCGUGAGGGAAAGAUGAAAAGCACUUUGGAAAGAGAGUUAAACAGUAUGUGAAAUUGUUGAAAGGGAAACGAUUGAAGUCAGUCAUGUCCAUUGGAUUCAGCUGGUUCUGCCAGUGUAUUUCCUUUGGACGGGUCAACAUCAGUUUGAGCCGACGGAUAAUGGCAGAGGGAAUGUGGCACCCCCGGGUGUGUUAUAGCCCUUUGUCGCAUACGUCGGCCCAGACUGAGGAAUGCAGCU